GACGAACGCUGGCGGCGUGCCUAAUACAUGCAAGUCGAGCGGACGAAUCGAAAGCUUGCUUUUGAUUCGUUAGCGGCGGACGGGUGAGUAACACGUGGGCAACCUGCCCUGUAGACGGGGAUAACACCGAGAAAUCGGUGCUAAUACCGGAUAACACGAAAUGUCGCAUGACGUUUCGUUGAAAGACGGCGCAAGCUGUCGCUACAGGAUGGGCCCGCGGCGCAUUAGCUAGUUUGUGAGGUAACGGCUCACCAAGGCGACGAUGCGUAGCCGACCUGAGAGGGUGAUCGGCCACACUGGGACUGAGACACGGCCCAGACUCCUACGGGAGGCAGCAGUAGGGAAUCUUCCGCAAUGGACGAAAGUCUGACGGAGCAACGCCGCGUGAGCGAAGAAGGCCUUCGGGUCGUAAAGCUCUGUUGUUAGGGAAGAACAAGUAACGCAGUAACUGGCGUUACCGUGACGGUACCUAACGAGAAAGCCACGGCUAACUACGUG
Molecule: ribosomal RNA, 498 nt
Filed under: uncultured bacterium
Lineage: Bacteria
Description: partial 16S ribosomal RNA
Rfam family: Bacterial small subunit ribosomal RNA
Source: RNAcentral